RNAcentral lists this long non-coding RNA (176 nucleotides) under Penaeus japonicus. RNAcentral describes it as "uncharacterized LOC122254882". The record is from RNAcentral. Lineage: Eukaryota; Metazoa; Arthropoda; Malacostraca; Decapoda; Penaeidae.
ACCAAAGCAGUGUUGAAAAUGCAUUUGAUCAGCAAGAGAAGGAGGGAGAAAUGGAGUGGGACGAGGUGACUCAAGGGCUCGUCUUGGCGAGUUUCUUCUAUGGCUAUGCCUUGACACAGAUCGUGGGCGGCCGCUUGGCAGACCUGUACGGGACACGGUGGGUGUUCGGAAGCUGC